RNAcentral lists this transfer RNA (68 nucleotides) under Owenia fusiformis. RNAcentral describes it as "tRNA-Asn". Lineage: Eukaryota; Metazoa; Annelida; Polychaeta; Sabellida; Oweniidae. The record is from RNAcentral.
UAAAUAAAAACUGAUAUUAGUGAUUGAUUGUUGGUCAAUUUGGUGUGGGAGGUUUCCCAUUUAUUUAG